CCAGGAUCCCAGGAAGUUCUGAGAUACUCUGAACUUCACAGCAGGCUCAGGAGUGCCACGGUAAGACUACUAAACUACAAACAAAAAUAUUGAUCUGUUCACGUUUUCCUACUUCAGUUAUUUGUGAAGUAGACAAGAUUGGUUCUGCUUCAAAGUAGCUCUAGUUCAUAAAUUAUGCCUAUUUUCACAUCACAAUCUCAGGCAAGGGCCCAGCGUGUAGUGUUCAUUAUUAGUGUUCAUUUAAUUGAAUGAUAUACUCAGUAGCUUUUCUUUGGAAAAACUGAGUCUCACUUAAGGACCAGUUAGCUAAUUCUGCGUGAAUUCAUCCUAAAUUCAUCCUAAAACUUCAACAACAACAUUUAUUAACAACUUAAACACAAAUAUUUAUUAUUUCUCAAAGUUUUGUGGAUAGUUCUUUGCUGUGCCAGUUUGGAAUGGCCUCACAUGCCUCAUUGAUAUUGGCUGUUAUAUGAGAUGAUAGGGUCUAUGUCUCCAACAAACUGUCUGAGCUCAAUUACAAGGUGACAGUCACCGAGUUCCCAGGAGCAAGAGAAAGCAAGACCCAAUUGCACAAGCACAUUUUAACCUGCUGUAAUUUUUCUGUAAUGUCCUAUGUGGCUAGCUUUGAAUUUGCAAUCCUCCUGCCUCAGCCUCCCGAGCUGCUGGAAUUGCAGGCAUGUGCCAUUGCGCCCAGCUAAACUUCACCUACUGAUUAGAGAAACUACAAAAUACUGGGGCUCCUUCCACCUUACCUCUUAUAUAUCUGUGUGUGUUUCUUUUGUUGUGUAACAAAUUACUCCCAAACUUAAUGGCUUUAAACUACAAUUAACAUUUGUAAUCUCACAGUUUCUGGGAGUCAGGUCUUUGGGAGUAACUUUGCUGGGUGGUUCUGGCUUGGGGUCUCCCAUGGAGAGAAGGCUUAAGGAUCUUCUUCUGGAAGGCUUGACUGGGGCUUAAGGAUCCACUUCCAAGAUGGCCAACUCACAUGGCAGCAAACUAUGCAGGCUGUUGGAAGGAGGUCUCAGUUCCUUGCUUCAUGGACCUCACCAUAGAACUGUUUGAAUCUUUUUUGUUGCUGUUGUGGGGGUUACCGGGGAUUGAACCUGAUCAGGGGUACUCAACCAUAAGCCACAUCCCCAGCACUCUUUUGUAUUUUAUUUAGAGACAGGGUCUCACUGAGUUGCUAAGCGCCUCAUGGUUGCUAAGGCUGGCCUUGAACUUGCCACUCCCCACCUCAGCCUCCUGAGCCACUGGGAUUACAGUGUGCCCUACUGCAACUGGCCCUGUUUGAAUAUCUUAUGUUCUGAUCACAGCUGGCUUUCACCAGAGCAAGUGAUCCAGAAUAAAGCAAGGUAGAAACCAUUAGGCUGCCUAUGAGCUAGCUUUGGAAGACACAUACUGGCAGUUCUGCACUCUCCCUUGGCUUCAUAGGUCAGCCGUGUUCAUGGACAUGUGAAAGAAUGGCAC
RNAcentral lists this long non-coding RNA (1467 nucleotides) under Marmota monax (woodchuck). The record is from RNAcentral. Lineage: Eukaryota; Metazoa; Chordata; Mammalia; Rodentia; Sciuridae.